UACGGAGGGUGCAAGCGUUGCUCGGAAUCACUGGGCGUAAAGCGCCCGCAGGCGGCCUGAAAAGUCGGAUGUGAAAGCCCUGGGCUCAACUCAGGAACUGCAUUCGAAACUGGUAGGCUCGAGUACGGGAGAGGGGGGUGGAAUUCCUGGUGUAGGGGUGAAAUUCGUUGAUAUCAGGAGGAACACCGGCGGCGAAGGCGGCCCCCUGGCCCGCAACUGACGCUCAUGGUCGAAAGCGUGGGGAGCAAACAGG
This 253-nucleotide ribosomal RNA is filed under the name uncultured bacterium. Its description in RNAcentral is "partial 16S ribosomal RNA". It matches the Rfam family "Bacterial small subunit ribosomal RNA", at positions 524 to 776 of the family's 1533-position model. The record is from RNAcentral.